This 756-nucleotide small RNA is filed under the name Pan troglodytes (chimpanzee). Its description in RNAcentral is "processed transcript". Lineage: Eukaryota; Metazoa; Chordata; Mammalia; Primates; Hominidae. The record is from RNAcentral.
CGGGACGCCCCGAGAGGAGGAGGGACCUGCUGGGGAGGCAGCGGUCUCGCAGCCCCAGGCCCCAACGAGUGUGCCUGGGGCUCGCCUCUCGAGAUUGCCUCUGGCGCGAGUGAAGGCCUUGGUGAAGGCAGAUCCCGACGUGACGCUAGCGGGACAGGAAGCCAUCUUCAUUCUGGCACGAGCCGCGGAACUGUUUGUGGAGACCAUUGCAAAAGAUGCCUACUGUUGCGCUCAGCAGGGAAAAAGGAAAACCCUUCAGAGGAGAGACUUGGAUAAUGCAAUAGAAGCUGUGGAUGAAUUUGCUUUUCUGGAAGUGCUGAAAUUGCCUGAAGAUGUGAUGCAUUUCUCAGGAUGUAUCCUUGUUGUUGAGCGACACAUGUAUUUUGAUUGAAUAGCUUAGCAAAAGCCAUGUAUCCUUAUUCUCCCAGGGUGUUCUCAUUACCUCCUUCAAGCCUUAUUACCUUUAGAAAUAUCUUGAUUUAUUCCACUCUUUUUUACUCCUUUGUUCUGCAUCUCCCUGUCAACCUAGGCCCCUGGUCCUUUUGAUAGAUAUUUUUUAAAUGUCUUAUUAGAUAGAUAGACUACCAUGGCCAGCUCUAUGUCUAGACUAUUGAGCAUUCUUUUAAUUUGCAGAUUUUUCUUCAGCCUCUCUUUCCACCUACUCAUUUUUCUUAAAAUUAACUUUUGUUAGUCGUACCUAAGGCAGGCACUCCUUGUGACAGACUUUAAGUUCUGCAGUCAAAAAUGUUUGGAGCC